CGAUCCCUUUUUAUUGAUGAACAGGUGGAGCAAGAGCAAACUACAGGUCAUCGUUGGCACUGUAGCAUUUGGUAUGGGAAUCAACAAACCUGAUGUCAGGUUCGUCAUCCAUCACAUCUUGAGUAAAUCAAUGGAAACAUACUACCAGGUUUUCUACCGUUCCAGCUAAGCUUACA
Rosa chinensis is the source of this 176-nucleotide long non-coding RNA. RefSeq lists it as uncharacterized. Lineage: Eukaryota; Viridiplantae; Streptophyta; Magnoliopsida; Rosales; Rosaceae. The transcript has 3 exons. The record is from RefSeq and is a predicted model, not a curated record.